RNAcentral lists this ribosomal RNA (584 nucleotides) under uncultured bacterium. RNAcentral's name for it is "partial 16S ribosomal RNA". It matches the Rfam family "Bacterial small subunit ribosomal RNA", at positions 355 to 1375 of the family's 1533-position model. The record is from RNAcentral.
UGGGGAAUUUUGGACAAUGGGCGAAAGCCUGAUCCAGCAAUGCCGCGUGUGUGAAGAAGGCCUUCGGGUUGUAAAGCACUUUUGUCCGGAAAGAAAUCCUUGGCUCUAAUACAGUCGGGGGAUGACGGUACCGGAAGAAUAAGCACCGGCUAACUACGUGCCAGCAGCCGCGGUAAUACGUAGGGUGCAAGCGUUAAUCGGAAUUACUGGGCGUAAAGCGUGCGCAGGCGGUUUGCUAAGACCGAUGUGAAAUCCCCGGGCUCAACCUGGGAACUGCAUUGGUGACUGGCAGGCUAGAGUAUGGCAGAGGGGGGUAGAAUUCCACGUGUAGCAGUGAAAUGCGUAGAGAUGUGGAGGAAUACCGAUGGCGAAGGCAGCCCCCUGGGCAAUACUGACGCUCAUGCACGAAAGCGUGGGGAGCAAACAGGAUUAGAUACCCUGGUAGUCCACGCCCUAAACGAUGUCAACUAGUUGUUGGGGAUUCAUUUCCUUAGUAACGUAGCUAACGCGUGAAGUUGACCGCCUGGGGAGUACGGUCGCAAAAUUAAAACUCAAAUGAAUUGACGGGGUCAUAGCUGUUUCCU